Molecule: ribosomal RNA, 486 nt
Filed under: uncultured bacterium
Lineage: Bacteria
Description: partial 16S ribosomal RNA
Rfam family: Bacterial small subunit ribosomal RNA
Source: RNAcentral
GACGAACGCUGGCGGCGUGCUUAACACAUGCAAGUCGAACGCUGAAGACCUGGCAUCUGUCUGGUUGGAUGAGUGGCGAACGGGUGAGUAACACGUGAGUAAGCUGCCCUUUUCUUUGGGAUAACGACCGGCAACGGGUGCUUAUACUGGAUAUUCCCUGAUCUUCGUAUGGGGGUUGGAGGAAAGGUCUUUUCUGGUGGGGGUUGGGCUCAGGGCCUAUCUGUUUGUUGGUGGGGUGAUGGCCUACCAGGGCAUUGGCGGGUAUCCGGGCUGGUUGGGUGACCGGUGACAUGGGGACUGGGAUACGGCCCAGACGCCUACGGGAGUCAGCAGUUGUGAAUAUUGCACAAUGGGCUGAUGCCUGAUGCAGCGACGCGUCAUGAGGGAUGGAGGCUUUCGGGUGGUAAACCUCUUGCGAGCAUGGUCAAGCCGCAACUGUGCGCUGUGCUGAGGGUAGUGGGUAAAGAAGCGCCGGCUAACUACGUG